RNAcentral lists this ribosomal RNA (253 nucleotides) under uncultured bacterium. Its description in RNAcentral is "partial 16S ribosomal RNA". It matches the Rfam family "Bacterial small subunit ribosomal RNA", at positions 524 to 776 of the family's 1533-position model. The record is from RNAcentral.
UACGUAGGUGGCUAGCGUUGUCAGGAUUUAUUGGGCGUAAAGCGAACGCAGGCGGGAGAACAAGUCAGCUGUGAAAGCCCUCGGCUUAACCGAGGAACGGCAACUGAUACUGUUUGUCUUGAGUGCAGAAGAGGAUAGUGGAACUCCAUGUGUAGCGGUGAAAUGCGUAGAUAUAUGGAAGAACACCAGUGGCGAAGGCGGCUCUCUGGUCUGUAACUGACGCUGAGGUUCGAAAGCAUGGGUAGCGAACAGG